GAAAUGCGAUAAGUAAUGUGAAUUGCAGAAUUCAGUGAAUCAUCGAAUCUUUGAACGCACCUUGCGCUCCUUGGUAUUCCUUGGAGCAUGCCUGUUUGAGUAUCAUGAAAUCUUCAAAGUAAAUCUUUUGUUAACUCAAUUGGUUUCUACUUUGGUAUUGGAGGUCUUUGCAGCUUCACACCUGCUCCUCUUUGUUCAUUAGCUGGAUCUCAGUGUUAUGCUUGGUUCCACUCUGCGUGAUAAGUUAUCUAUCGCUGAGGACACUGUAAAAGGUGGCCAAGGUAAAUGCAGAUGAACCGCUUCUAAUAGUCCAUUGACUUGGACAAUACUUUUAUGAUCUGAUCUCAAAUCAUGUAGGACUACCCGCUGAACUUAAGC
This 378-nucleotide unclassified non-coding RNA is filed under the name plant metagenome. RNAcentral's name for it is "partial contains 5.8S ribosomal RNA, internal transcribed spacer 2, and large subunit ribosomal RNA". The stretch from base 1 to 105 matches the Rfam family "5.8S ribosomal RNA", at positions 50 to 154 of the family's 154-position model. The record is from RNAcentral.